This is a long non-coding RNA of Cyprinus carpio carpio, 828 nucleotides long. The record is from Ensembl. NCBI's taxonomy places the organism in Eukaryota, Metazoa, Chordata, Actinopteri, Cypriniformes, Cyprinidae.
CUUCAAGCGAAGAGGAGAGAUUCGCGAUUGCACUGAACACGUUUUAAGUGCAGAUUCAGUGCCAGAAGAGACGUCACCAGUGCACACUGUACUUCUCUAAACCUCUUAACCUCAGACACUUCAACAUCAGACAUCAGAGCUGCACCGGAGAUUCACUAGAUUCAGAUCAUCACAAGAGAUGAUGGAAAAUAGUUUAAAAGAAAUUAAUUCAUGGGAGAAGAUCUGUGCAGCAUCACAAACUGCAGGAGAAUUAAACAGAGAGGAAAAGAAACAUGGCAAACAAAGUGGACGAGAUACAAUGUAAUGAACCAGAAGAGAAGAAGAUCCUGAGACGAGUCAGACGGAACAGUAUUAAUAGUGGAAGACCAAACUUUUGUGAUGAUGCAGAAAGUUUUAUUCAGAGAGACUCACAGACGAGACAGGAGCAGCUCCUUUCACCAGACCAGCAGAAUAUACUUUAUAUUCAGUCUCUAACUAAACACUGCUUUUUUUUAGAUAGUUUGUUGUAUUUUUGUGUUACUGUAUAUUCAAAAUAUUAUAGACCUACUGUAUAUAACAAGCCAAUAUCAACUAAUAUCAACUUCAUUCACUGUACAAUUUUACACUGUAUAAAACUAAGAACUGGAGCAUUAUCUGGAAUACUAUUGUUGAAAUUUACUAGCAAUUUGUUUUACUGUAUGAUGCUAUGUUUCUAAAACUAUUACAAUAUUUCAUAGUGACAAAAAUGUAUGUUUAAAAAAAAGUGUAUUUUAUAAAACUAAUUUUAUGAUUUUUAUUGCAAUACAUCUGUAUAUACUGAUAAAAAAUAAAAUAUUUUUCUCUUCAAUA